CAUUACCGAGUUUACAACUCCCAAACCCCUGUGAACAUACCACUUGUUGCCUCGGCGGAUCAGCCCGCUCCCGGUAAAACGGGACGGCCCGCCAGAGGACCCCUAAACUCUGUUUCUAUAUGUAACUUCUGAGUAAAACCAUAAAUAAAUCAAAACUUUCAACAACGGAUCUCUUGGUUCUGGCAUCGAUGAAGAACGCAGCAAAAUGCGAUAAGUAAUGUGAAUUGCAGAAUUCAGUGAAUCAUCGAAUCUUUGAACGCACAUUGCGCCCGCCAGUAUUCUGGCGGGCAUGCCUGUUCGAGCGUCAUUUCAACCCUCAAGCACAGCUUGGUGUUGGGACUCGCGUUAAUUCGCGUUCCUCAAAUUGAUUGGCGGUCACGUCGAGCUUCCAUAGCGUAGUAGUAAAACCCUCGUUACUGGUAAUCGUCGCGGCCACGCCGUUAAACCCCAACUUCUGAAUGUUGACCUCGGAUCAGGUAGGAAUACCCGCUGAACUUAAGCAUAUCAAA
RNAcentral lists this ribosomal RNA (509 nucleotides) under Fusarium sp. ca_besc_246d. RNAcentral describes it as "eukaryotic LSU rRNA". The stretch from base 154 to 307 matches the Rfam family "5.8S ribosomal RNA". The record is from RNAcentral. Lineage: Eukaryota; Fungi; Ascomycota; Sordariomycetes; Hypocreales; Nectriaceae. RNAcentral also lists the same sequence under 1 other name.